RNAcentral lists this ribosomal RNA (301 nucleotides) under uncultured bacterium. RNAcentral's name for it is "partial 16S ribosomal RNA". It matches the Rfam family "Bacterial small subunit ribosomal RNA", at positions 509 to 807 of the family's 1533-position model. The record is from RNAcentral.
CAGCAGCCGCGGUAAUACGAAGGGCGCAAGCGUUACUCGGAAUUACUGGGCGUAAAGCGUGCGUAGGUGGUUGUUUAAGUCUGCUGUGAAAGCCCUGGGCUCAACCUGGGAAUUGCAGUGGAUACUGGGCAACUAGAGUAAGGUAGAGGAUAGUGGAAUUUCCGGUGUAGCAGUGAAAUGCGUAGAGAUCGGAAGGAACAUCUGUGGCGAAGGCGACUAUCUGGGCCAUUACUGACACUGAGGCACGAAAGCGUGGGGAGCAAACAGGAUUAGAUACCCGUGUAGUCCCUGUCUCUUAUAC